AGUGAACGCUGGCGGUAGGCCUAACACAUGCAAGUCGAACGGCAGCACAGUAAGAGCUUGCUCUUACGGGUGGCGAGUGGCGGACGGGUGAGGAAUACAUCGGAAUCUACUUUUUCGGGGGGGAUAACGUAGGGAAACUUACGCUAAUACCGCAUACGACCUACGGGUGAAAGCAGGGGAUCUUCGGACCUUGCGCGAUUGAAUGAGCCGAUGUCGGAUUAGCUAGUUGGCGGGGUAAAGGCCCACCAAGGCGACGAUCCGUAGCUGGUCUGAGAGGAUGAUCAGCCACACUGGAACUGAGACACGGUCCAGACUACUACGGGAGGCAGCAGUGGGGAAUAUUGGGCAAUGGGCGCAAGCCUGAUCCAGCCAUACCGCGUGGGUGAAGAAGGCCUUCGGGUUGUAAAGCCCUUUUGUUGGGAAAGAAAAGCAGCAGGUUAAUACCCCGCUGUUCUGACGGUACCCAAAGAAUAAGCACCGGCUAACUUCGUG
This 492-nucleotide ribosomal RNA is filed under the name uncultured bacterium. Its description in RNAcentral is "partial 16S ribosomal RNA". It matches the Rfam family "Bacterial small subunit ribosomal RNA", at positions 29 to 507 of the family's 1533-position model. The record is from RNAcentral.